GGAGGUAUAGCUCAGUGGUAGAGCACUUGCUUAGUAUGCCCAAGGUCUUGGGUUCAAUCUCCAAUACCUCCA
This 72-nucleotide transfer RNA is filed under the name Camelus bactrianus (Bactrian camel). It matches the Rfam family "tRNA". From Rfam's summary of the family: Transfer RNA (tRNA) molecules are approximately 80 nucleotides in length. Their secondary structure includes four short double-helical elements and three loops (D, anti-codon, and T loops). Further hydrogen bonds mediate the characteristic L-shaped molecular structure. tRNAs have two regions of fundamental functional importance: the anti-codon, which is responsible for specific mRNA codon recognition, and the 3' end, to which the tRNAs corresponding amino acid is attached (by aminoacyl-tRNA synthetases). tRNAs cope with the degeneracy of the genetic code in two manners: having more than one tRNA (with a specific anti-codon) for a particular amino acid; and 'wobble' base-pairing, i.e. permitting non-standard base-pairing at the 3rd anti-codon position. RNAcentral also lists the same sequence under 1 other name. The record is from Rfam by way of RNAcentral. Lineage: Eukaryota; Metazoa; Chordata; Mammalia; Artiodactyla; Camelidae.